UUUCUUUUUCUCUUAUAUUUUGGUUGAAAGCUUAAAAAUGAAAGCUCCUAUGUCAGAUGGUAAGUUCUCAUAAAAUACCAGCAUCUUCUUAUUUUCUUUUAAAGAUAUUUAAAAAUAAUGUUAAUAUAUUAUGUCAUACAUGUUACUGGUAUCUGUUUGAAAAACAUGGAUCUAGUUUAUGUUCUUGUAUAUUCUGAAUAUAUUUUUACGUAUGUUUUUAUUUUUUGUUUUUUUAAGAUAAUUAAAAAAUAAUGUUAAAUUAUAUGAAACCUGAUUUUAUAUUAAUAUAUUAUGUCAUAGAAGGUUACUGGUAUCUGUUUGAAAACAUGGAUAUACUUUAUGUACUUCUAUAUUAUGAAUAUAUUUUUACAUACGCAGUCACUUAUAAGAUUGUUUUAGUAAACAUUAUGUUUACUUUUAACAAUUUUUUUGACAUAUAUAUCGAACUACAUUAACAAAUCACUUCGAUUAUUCAUCUUAGAAAAGAAAUUUAGAAGUUAAAAUUUUGUAGACAUUAUGUUAGUUUAUACAAUGAGUUGUAGCAGAAAGAUUUUAUUCACAAAUUAUAUUUCCUAUUAUUUAAUCUUCUGUUAUUUUGCUAUCAGGUAUGAAGAGAUCCAACAAAUGCAUGCCGUUUUAUCUUUCACAACAAAAACAUUACAGGUUAGCGUAUAAAAACAUUACAGGUUAGCAUCAAAUUUCAUUAUGUGUAUUCAAAAGUUUGAUAUGAAAAAGAUAAAUACUGUUAUACCUAAAUUAUAGGUAAACUAUAGUAAAGAACAAUUUGAACAGACAUAUUUUCAAUCAUAUCAAUGAUUUAAAUUUAAAGAAAUUUUGAGUAUAUAUUUUUUACUUUUGUAAUCAUAUCAUAAAAUUUUGACAUUUCGAGGAUAUUUUAUUUUUAUUUUUACUGUUAGCAGAUAACUUGUAAUAAUAUUUCAGCUUUAAAUAAUUUCAUAGAAAAUUAUUUUUAAUUCAAAAUUGUGAACUGAAUAAAUUGUUUUGGGUAAUUAGUAUAUUAAGUUGCAAGGAUUAGUUGAUUGAUUUGACAGUUUACUUUAUUUUCAUUUUUCCACAUACAAAAUUUUAUUACUUAGAUGAAACUAAAUCAUAUCCAUAAGAAAUAAUAUUUCCUAUAUUUGAUGUGAUUUUACAAACAGGUAAGAAGAGUCCCCAAGAAGUGUAUGGAUGUAUGUUAUCUCAAUGCAUCAAAAUCAACCAUCCCAUCUUUCACAGCAAAAAAACAUUACAACUUUAUUCAGCAGCUCGAAUUGAAAUAACUUUGUAGCACUUUUUUUAAGGUGUGAUGCCACUUUUAACCUUCUGCAUAAUUCGCAUGGAGACAGCAAAAACAUGCAUUGGUACAACUUUAAUCGAAGCAUCAGAAUUUGGCCAUCUGACAGAUGCUUUCUUUGUUGGCUUUCUUAAUAAACUUGUUGCCAAAUUCAG
RNAcentral lists this long non-coding RNA (1449 nucleotides) under Vigna radiata. RNAcentral describes it as "long non-coding RNA (VRAD_LNC013434)". The record is from RNAcentral. Lineage: Eukaryota; Viridiplantae; Streptophyta; Magnoliopsida; Fabales; Fabaceae.